CUAGGAGAUUGGAUAUAUAUACAUAGAUAUAGAACCAACUUUCCAUGAAAGGAAGGUCAAGGAAUUUGUAAUUAUUUUAAAUCCAACCAACUGAAAGCAGACACGAGAAGCUAAAUGAGGAAUCGUACUACGAUAGAGCAUGGCACCAUGAUAAUCCCUGAUAAAGUCAUGCCAACUGAGUUUAAGUUCGCAGAUCUUGGGCUCUGGAUACCUGGCCCUGAACAACUAGCAUGUUUGAAAAGGAAAGAUUAAAAAUAACAUUUCUUCUGCUUGAGAAUGGACAAUAGAAUUCCUUGCUUUGGCUUUUUGGGACAUAAGUAUACGCUCAAUCAGUGUUUCCCGUUGUGUUCUAUAAAAUGUUAUCAUUUGAAAAAAGUUCUGUAUUAAGAGACUCAAAAUCAGUGAAGAAAUGUGGAAUAUUGCAGUGGAAACAGCACUAUGCUAAGGAUCAAGACACUGGAGUUUAAUCACUAAUCAUGGUGCAAUCCCAGACAAGUCAUUUUCGGGGUCUCAGUUUCUCAUAUGUAAGAUAAAGAGUGUGUGAUUCAUAUAUAACAAUCUUUCAUUCUGAGCAUGAAAUGGGAAAUCAAAACUAGGUAUCCAUUUUAGUUUUGAAAGGUAAUAAAACAAAAUUUAUUGCAAGAAGAGAAUUUGAUGUUCAUUUCUUUCAACACCUUCAUUUCAUUGGUUGAAACAGUAAAGCAUUGUGAGGUGGACGCUUACUCAAAGCCAGAGGACUAACAAGCUGUCCAGCCAGGACAAAAACCCAGUUUUCACUGCUGGAUACCUGAUGGGCCAUUUGGUAGAUCAGAUAUCUUCUCUGAUGACCUAUACCUGAAAAUGAUGUGAAUAUUCGUUGUGUGAAGAUACUGAUCAGUCUGAAGCAA
Long non-coding RNA from Canis lupus familiaris (dog), 887 nucleotides. RefSeq lists it as uncharacterized. NCBI's taxonomy places the organism in Eukaryota, Metazoa, Chordata, Mammalia, Carnivora, Canidae. The record is from RefSeq and is a predicted model, not a curated record. The transcript is spliced from 6 exons.